GCGGGAGUGGUGAAAUUGGUAGACACGCUAGAUUCAGGUUCUAGUCGGGGAAACCCGGUGGGAGUUCGAGUCUCCCCUUCCGCACCA
Molecule: transfer RNA, 87 nt
Filed under: Nitrospirota bacterium
Lineage: Bacteria; Pseudomonadati; Nitrospirota
Description: Nitrospirae bacterium (groundwater metagenome) tRNA-Leu
Rfam family: tRNA
About the family: Transfer RNA (tRNA) molecules are approximately 80 nucleotides in length.
Source: RNAcentral